ACUGGAAUUCAGACGUGUGGUCUUCGGAUCCUUGAAGGCCCUGGCCUGUGAAGGCCCUCGCACCGCCACCUGGAUGCAAAGGCAUGUGAAGGCCCUGGCCUGUGAAAGCCCUCGCACCAGCACCUGUAUGCGAGGGCCUGUGAAGUCGUGUAAAAGUAGUAGAAAAAGUUGA
This is a long non-coding RNA of Xiphophorus couchianus (Monterrey platyfish), 172 nucleotides long. RefSeq lists it as uncharacterized. The transcript is spliced from 4 exons. NCBI's taxonomy places the organism in Eukaryota, Metazoa, Chordata, Actinopteri, Cyprinodontiformes, Poeciliidae. The record is from RefSeq and is a predicted model, not a curated record.